This 443-nucleotide ribosomal RNA is filed under the name uncultured bacterium. RNAcentral's name for it is "SSU rRNA". It matches the Rfam family "Bacterial small subunit ribosomal RNA", at positions 26 to 518 of the family's 1533-position model. The record is from RNAcentral.
AGAGCGAACGCUGGCGGCAGGCCUAAUACAUGCAAGUCGAACGGACCCUUCGGGGUUAGUGGCGGACGGGUGAGUAACACGUGGGAACGUGCCCUUUGGUUCGGAACAACUCAGGGAAACUUGAGCUAAUACCGGAUGUGCCCUUCGGGGGAAAGAUUUAUCGCCAUUGGAGCGGCCCGCGUCUGAUUAGCUAGUUGGUGGGGUAAAGGCCUACCAAGGCUACGAUCAGUAGCUGGUCUGAGAGGAUGAUCAGCCACACUGGGACUGAGACACGGCCCAGACUCCUACGGGAGGCAGCAGUAGGGAAUCUUGCGCAAUGGGCGAAAGCCUGACGCAGCCAUGCCGCGUGAAUGAUGAAGGUCUUAGGAUUGUAAAAUUCUUUCAGCGGGGACGAUAAUGACGGUACCGCAGAAGAAGCCCGGCUAACUCGUGCCAGCAGCCGC